This is a long non-coding RNA of Humulus lupulus (European hop), 268 nucleotides long. RefSeq lists it as uncharacterized. The transcript is spliced from 3 exons. NCBI's taxonomy places the organism in Eukaryota, Viridiplantae, Streptophyta, Magnoliopsida, Rosales, Cannabaceae. The record is from RefSeq and is a predicted model, not a curated record.
AGGAAUCUGAAUUUGAAAAACCAAUAAAUUCAGCAUCAGCAGGUGACAUUACUAAAGCUGCAGAAGCUGCGCUAAAGUUGGAGCGGGAAAGAUUAAAAAAGUUGGAAGACUUGGAUGAAGGAAACAAGGCAUUAGGAUUGAAUGUAAAUAAGGAUUAUGUUCGCCAUGAAAGAAAUAUCUCUAAAUUGAUACGGCAGAUUACAAGAACGAAUGAUGUUGUCAAGUAAUAUUGGAUUUCUGUCCAUCAAUCUACAUAUUUUUAUUCAAC